Long non-coding RNA from Dermacentor andersoni, 485 nucleotides. RefSeq lists it as uncharacterized. The record is from RefSeq and is a predicted model, not a curated record. Lineage: Eukaryota; Metazoa; Arthropoda; Arachnida; Ixodida; Ixodidae.
CGGACGUGUACACAACAACGCAGUUCUGGUCACUUCGUAUGGUUCCCUAGUAGGCAUUCUACGUCCCGAGUCACCUAAAGGUACACAAGUGGUGUAAGGUAUCGCGCUAACACUAGUUGCAACUCGUAAGGCACGCUCCCUCGAACUUGUCUUCAAUUUUUGUACUCAGCGAUGCGUGCAACCAAAGCUGUCAUAUUCGUCGUUCUUGUAUUUUCUGUCAUGCUAAUCAAGAAGAGUUACACUGCCAAGGGUGGCAGUGACGGGUGGCCUACAUGUAGCGGACAAUGGUGUACGUUCGACGACAACGGCCGCAGUUCCUGCCCACCAAACUGCCCCUGCAUCGUCAAUGAAACCAGGGGGAGUGUGCGUUCAGGAUUUUGCUGGACAUGAUAAGGCAGGUCACGCUGGUUUUCGUGAAAGAGCUAGACAAAGCGAGUUGUUCUUAGUGCAACAAAAUAAAACAUGGAAAUCUUGUCUGAUGACAA